This 467-nucleotide long non-coding RNA is filed under the name Arachis ipaensis. Its description in RNAcentral is "long non-coding RNA (AIPA_LNC000299)". The record is from RNAcentral. Lineage: Eukaryota; Viridiplantae; Streptophyta; Magnoliopsida; Fabales; Fabaceae.
UCAACUUCAACAAUAUCAAAUAAUCAAAUUAAACUGUGAACCAUAGACAAUAUUCCCAAACUAUUAACAUUUACAUAAAUUAUUACUUGCAACACUGUAAAUCUGUUAUAUGCUAGCAGCAAUAAUUUUAAAAAAAUUAUACAUGAAUCGUAGUGGCUCGAUGCAUGAUCUAAAGAGCUAAGUAAACCUUUGGAAAAAGAGCUAAGCAGGGUCUCAAAUCGGCACAAAUCAAAAGAGGGAAGCAAAAGGGUUGAAAGCACACAACAAUUGGACUUGAAGCUGGAAUCAGAAGCAGGCGCCGUCGACGGCAAUCACUGGCAUCAGCGGUUGAUUACGGGUCACGGAUCACGGCCCCUUAGCGACCGCGAAGCAGUUGGAGCAGCGGAUCACGACGGCGAAGGGGUGUUGCACAGCACCAGAGCAUCGGACGGCGAGAGAAGAGAGGAGAGGAUAAUGAAUUCUUUUGU